UACAGAGGGUGCAAGCGUUGUUCGGAAUUAUUGGGCGUAAAGGGCGCGUAGGCGGUGCGGCAAGUCUGUAGUGAAAUCUCUGGGCUCAACUCAGAGUCUGCUGCAGAAACUGCCGUGCUUGAGUGUGGGAGAGGUGAGUGGAAUUCCUGGUGUAGCGGUGAAAUGCGUAGAUAUCAGGAGGAACACCUGUGGCGAAAGCGGCUCACUGGACCACAACUGACGCUGAGGCGCGAAAGCUAGGGGAGCAAACAGG
This 253-nucleotide ribosomal RNA is filed under the name uncultured bacterium. Its description in RNAcentral is "partial 16S ribosomal RNA". It matches the Rfam family "Bacterial small subunit ribosomal RNA", at positions 524 to 776 of the family's 1533-position model. The record is from RNAcentral.